Molecule: ribosomal RNA, 2901 nt
Filed under: Shigella sonnei
Lineage: Bacteria; Pseudomonadati; Pseudomonadota; Gammaproteobacteria; Enterobacterales; Enterobacteriaceae
Description: bacterial LSU rRNA
Rfam family: Bacterial large subunit ribosomal RNA
Source: RNAcentral
UUAAGCGACUAAGCGUACACGGUGGAUGCCCUGGCAGUCAGAGGCGAUGAAGGACGUGCUAAUCUGCGAUAAGCGUCGGUAAGGUGAUAUGAACCGUUAUAACCGGCGAUUUCCGAAUGGGGAAACCCAGUGUGUUUCGACACACUAUCAUUAACUGAAUCCAUAGGUUAAUGAGGCGAACCGGGGGAACUGAAACAUCUAAGUACCCCGAGGAAAAGAAAUCAACCGAGAUUCCCCCAGUAGCGGCGAGCGAACGGGGAGGAGCCCAGAGCCUGAAUCAGUGUGUGUGUUAGUGGAAGCGUCUGGAAAGGCGCGCGAUACAGGGUGACAGCCCCGUACACAAAAAUACACAUAUUGUGAGCUCGAUGAGUAGGGCGGGACACGUGGUAUCCUGUCUGAAUAUGGGGGGACCAUCCUCCAAGGCUAAAUACUCCUGACUGACCGAUAGUGAACCAGUACCGUGAGGGAAAGGCGAAAAGAACCCCGGCGAGGGGAGUGAAAAAGAACCUGAAACCGUGUACGUACAAGCAGUGGGAGCACGCUUAGGCGUGUGACUGCGUACCUUUUGUAUAAUGGGUCAGCGACUUAUAUUCUGUAGCAAGGUUAACCGAAUAGGGGAGCCGAAGGGAAACCGAGUCUUAACUGGGCGUUAAGUUGCAGGGUAUAGACCCGAAACCCGGUGAUCUAGCCAUGGGCAGGUUGAAGGUUGGGUAACACUAACUGGAGGACCGAACCGACUAAUGUUGAAAAAUUAGCGGAUGACUUGUGGCUGGGGGUGAAAGGCCAAUCAAACCGGGAGAUAGCUGGUUCUCCCCGAAAGCUAUUUAGGUAGCGCCUCGUGAAUUCAUCUCCGGGGGUAGAGCACUGUUUCGGCAAGGGGUCAUCCCGACUUACCAACCCGAUGCAAACUGCGAAUACCGGAGAAUGUUAUCACGGGAGACACACGGCGGGUGCUAACGUCCGUCGUGAAGAGGGAAACAACCCAGACCGCCAGCUAAGGUCCCAAAGUCAUGGUUAAGUGGGAAACGAUGUGGGAAGGCCCAGACAGCCAGGAUGUUGGCUUAGAAGCAGCCAUCAUUUAAAGAAAGCGUAAUAGCUCACUGGUCGAGUCGGCCUGCGCGGAAGAUGUAACGGGGCUAAACCAUGCACCGAAGCUGCGGCAGCGACGCUUAUGCGUUGUUGGGUAGGGGAGCGUUCUGUAAGCCUGCGAAGGUGUGCUGUGAGGCAUGCUGGAGGUAUCAGAAGUGCGAAUGCUGACAUAAGUAACGAUAAAGCGGGUGAAAAGCCCGCUCGCCGGAAGACCAAGGGUUCCUGUCCAACGUUAAUCGGGGCAGGGUGAGUCGACCCCUAAGGCGAGGCCGAAAGGCGUAGUCGAUGGGAAACAGGUUAAUAUUCCUGUACUUGGUGUUACUGCGAAGGGGGGACGGAGAAGGCUAUGUUGGCCGGGCGACGGUUGUCCCGGUUUAAGCGUGUAGGCUGGUUUUCCAGGCAAAUCCGGAAAAUCAAGGCUGAGGCGUGAUGACGAGGCACUACGGUGCUGAAGCAACAAAUGCCCUGCUUCCAGGAAAAGCCUCUAAGCAUCAGGUAACAUCAAAUCGUACCCCAAACCGACACAGGUGGUCAGGUAGAGAAUACCAAGGCGCUUGAGAGAACUCGGGUGAAGGAACUAGGCAAAAUGGUGCCGUAACUUCGGGAGAAGGCACGCUGAUAUGUAGGUGAAGUCCCUUGCGGAUGGAGCUGAAAUCAGUCGAAGAUACCAGCUGGCUGCAACUGUUUAUUAAAAACACAGCACUGUGCAAACACGAAAGUGGACGUAUACGGUGUGACGCCUGCCCGGUGCCGGAAGGUUAAUUGAUGGGGUCAGCGCAAGCGAAGCUCUUGAUCGAAGCCCCGGUAAACGGCGGCCGUAACUAUAACGGUCCUAAGGUAGCGAAAUUCCUUGUCGGGUAAGUUCCGACCUGCACGAAUGGCGUAAUGAUGGCCAGGCUGUCUCCACCCGAGACUCAGUGAAAUUGAACUCGCUGUGAAGAUGCAGUGUACCCGCGGCAAGACGGAAAGACCCCGUGAACCUUUACUAUAGCUUGACACUGAACAUUGAGCCUUGAUGUGUAGGAUAGGUGGGAGGCUUUGAAGUGUGGACGCCAGUCUGCAUGGAGCCGGCCUUGAAAUACCACCCUUUAAUGUUUGAUGUUCUAACGUGGACCCGUGAUCCGGGUUGCGGACAGUGUCUGGUGGGUAGUUUGACUGGGGCGGUCUCCUCCUAAAGAGUAACGGAGGAGCACGAAGGUUGGCUAAUCCUGGUCGGACAUCAGGAGGUUAGUGCAAUGGCAUAAGCCAGCUUGACUGCGAGCGUGACGGCGCGAGCAGGUGCGAAAGCAGGUCAUAGUGAUCCGGUGGUUCUGAAUGGAAGGGCCAUCGCUCAACGGAUAAAAGGUACUCCGGGGAUAACAGGCUGAUACCGCCCAAGAGUUCAUAUCGACGGCGGUGUUUGGCACCUCGAUGUCGGCUCAUCACAUCCUGGGGCUGAAGUAGGUCCCAAGGGUAUGGCUGUUCGCCAUUUAAAGUGGUACGCGAGCUGGGUUUAGAACGUCGUGAGACAGUUCGGUCCCUAUCUGCCGUGGGCGCUGGAGAACUGAGGGGGGCUGCUCCUAGUACGAGAGGACCGGAGUGGACGCAUCACUGGUGUUCGGGUUGUCAUGCCAAUGGCACUGCCCGGUAGCUAAAUGCGGAAGAGAUAAGUGCUGAAAGCAUCUAAGCACGAAACUUGCCCCGAGAUGAGUUCUCCCUGACCCUUUAAGGGUCCUGAAGGAACGUUGAAGACGACGACGUUGAUAGGCCGGGUGUGUAAGCGCAGCGAUGCGUUGAGCUAACCGGUACUAAUGAACCGUGAGGCUUAACCUU